RNAcentral lists this ribosomal RNA (1931 nucleotides) under Triticum aestivum (bread wheat). RNAcentral's name for it is "partial small subunit ribosomal RNA". Lineage: Eukaryota; Viridiplantae; Streptophyta; Magnoliopsida; Poales; Poaceae. The record is from RNAcentral.
AAGUUUUGUUGGUUAUCCAAGUCGCUGGCCACAAGAAUCAGUUCAGCUCUGGAUCAGCAAAAUUCCCCUCGGAGCAACGGCCGAUGGCAUCGACCGUCGGCGCCGCGGCGCGGGGGCCUGCCACCGGCGGGAAGCCCUCGGUCCUCUACCUUCGCCGCGCCGACGACGGCCUCGCCGCCGCGCUGCGCGCGCGCUACCGCGUCCACAGCCUUUACGACUCGGGCGCUCCGCUCCUGGCGUUCCUCGCCGCGUCCGCGGCCGCCCCGGGGGCCGGCGAGCCCCCGAGGGCCGCCGUCGUCGUCGGCGGAGGCGCCAUCCAAGUCGACGCCGCCUUCCUCGACGCGGCCCCGUGCCUCCGCUGCGUCGUGACCACCGCCGCCGGCCUGGACCACGUCGACCUCGCCGAGUGCGCGCGGCGGGGCGUCGCCGUGGCCGGCGCCGGCGAGACAUUCUCCACUGACGUGGCGGAUCACGCCGUCGGGCUCCUCGUGGACGUGCUCCGGCGCGUCUCGGCGGCCGACCGGUUCGUCCGCCGCGGGCUUUGGCCGGCCCGCGGGGACUACCCGCUUGGCUCCAAGCUCAGUGGCAAGCGAGUAGGCAUCAUCGGUUUGGGGAGCAUCGGUACAUUGAUCGCGAGGCGGCUCCAGGCAUUCGGCUGCACCAUCUCCUAUCACUCCAGAAGGGCCAAGGAUUCAGCAACCAUCUCUUACAAAUAUUUCCCCACUGUCAUCAACCUCGCUCUCGAAUCCGACGUGCUGGUCGUCGCGUGCGCUCUCAACGAUCAGACACGGCACAUUGUCAACAAGGAAGUCCUGGAGGCGCUAGGGAAAGACGGCGUCAUCGUGAACAUUGCCCGCGGAGGGAACGUCGAUGAGGCGGCGCUGAUCCGCGCACUCAAGGCAGGGGGGAUAGCAGGCGCGGGCCUCGAUGUCUUUGAGAAGGAGCCUGAGGUGCCGGCAGAGCUACUCUCCAUGGAAAAUGUGGUGCUCACAGCGCAUGAGGCCGUCUUCACUGUGGAGUCGGCCUCUGAUCUUUCAGACCUCAUGAUCGGAAACCUUGAGGCGUUCUUCCAAGGAUAAAAGCAAGGAACACCUCCCUGGUCAGGUGGUGGUAACUGGCUAGCUGCCCAGGUAUGCAGUAAAUGAGCUCGCUGCCCUUAUGGGAUUUCCAUGUUCCUGUAAUCUGAUACAAAACUCGACCGACAAAAGAUCGCCAUGACUCUCUGAAGGCGAGGAUUUCUCGCUCAGAAAUAUGUACAUGCCAAUCGGGGAUGAAUGGUGAACUUAUGAUCAGGCGAAGGACGAAGGUUAGGUGGUCGCUGCUCAAGCAGCAGAUUCUGAACCCUGCCUGGUUCUGCCCCUUAUCAGCAAAACCGUGCCAUUUCAGAAAUAAUUGUAGGGUAAGUUUUGCAAAUUGCUUCUGGUUCAUUGCUCAAGGAGGUAGAGUGAUCUGUAGUCUGGGUACAUUGUGGGGGUGGUCAUCAUUCACUCACUGUUCCCAAGUCCUGGACAAGUUUCCCCCUUGUUAGAUGGUUACCAGUCGAAGGCUCUAGGCGCGAGGAUAAGGUGGAAUUGGAAAUUAUAUGUGGGCUCGUGUUAAGUUUAGUGUACCUAAAGCCCUCACAAAAUUGUUACUAUCACUUGUGGAAGGGAACAUAAUAUUUUUCAAGUGAAGUAUGAAAACGUUCCGUGAUUUUGCGAGACGGGCGGGCAAAGCGGACAUUCACACCUUGAAUGUGGAACAGACGAGCGUGAGACGAAGGACUUCAAAUGGUGCCAUGGCUUAACGCUGGUCAUGAAACAUGGUAGGGUUGAGGAGCCGUCUUAGAGCAUCUCCAACAGUUUGUAUAUUAGCUUGUUGGUAAAAUAUGUCAUGUCAUCAAUCAAUAGCUUAACAUACGACAACUCCAAUGAUUUGUAUCUAGUUUGCCC